CGAUCCGUAACUGGUCUGAGAGGAUGAUCAGUCACACUGGAACUGAGACACGGUCCAGACUCCUACGGGAGGCAGCAGUGGGGAAUAUUGGACAAUGGGCGAAAGCCUGAUCCCAGCCAUGCCGCGUGUGUGAAGAAGGUCUUCGGAUUGUAAAGCACUUUAAGUUGGGAGGAAGGGGUUGUAGAUUAAUACUCUGCAAUUUUGACGUUACCGACAGAAUAAGCACCGGGCUAACUCUGUGCCCAGCAGCCGCGGGUAAAUA
Molecule: ribosomal RNA, 262 nt
Filed under: uncultured Pseudomonas sp.
Lineage: Bacteria; Pseudomonadati; Pseudomonadota; Gammaproteobacteria; Pseudomonadales; Pseudomonadaceae
Description: partial 16S ribosomal RNA
Rfam family: Bacterial small subunit ribosomal RNA
Source: RNAcentral